GAUGAACGCUGGCGGCGUGCCUAAUACAUGCAAGUCGAGCGAACAGACGAGGAGCUUGCUCCUCUGACGUUAGCGGCGGACGGGUGAGUAACACGUGGAUAACCUACCUAUAAGACUGGGAUAACUUCGGGAAACCGGAGCUAAUACCGGAUAAUAUAUUGAACCGCAUGGUUCAAUAGUGAAAGACGGUUUUGCUGUCACUUAUAGAUGGAUCCGCGCCGCAUUAGCUAGUUGGUAAGGUAACGGCUUACCGAGACGACGAUGCGUAGCCGACCUGAGAGGGUGAUCGGCCACACUGGAACUGAGACACGGUCCAGACUCCUACGGGAGGCAGCAGUAGGGAAUCUUCCGCAAUGGGCGAAAGCCUGACGGAGCAACGCCGCGUGAGUGAUGAAGGUCUUCGGAUCGUAAAACUCUGUUAUUAGGGAAGAACAAAUGUGUAAGUAACUAUGCACGUCUUGACGGUACCUAAUCAGAAAGCCACGGCUAACUACGUG
This 497-nucleotide ribosomal RNA is filed under the name uncultured bacterium. Its description in RNAcentral is "partial 16S ribosomal RNA". It matches the Rfam family "Bacterial small subunit ribosomal RNA", at positions 28 to 507 of the family's 1533-position model. The record is from RNAcentral.